GAGGAUGCGAGCGUUAUCCGGAUUUAUUGGGUUUAAAGGGUGCGUAGGCGAUCUGUCAAGUCAGCGGUCAAAUCGAGGGGCUCAACCCCUUUCCGCCGUUGAAACUGGCGGGCUUGAGUGGGCGAGAAGUAUGCGGAAUGCGAGGUGUAGCGGUGAAAUGCAUAGAUAUCACGCAGAACUCCGAUUGCGAAGGCAGCAUACCGGCGCCCGACUGACGCUGAGGCACGAAAGCGUGGGGAUCGAA
Molecule: ribosomal RNA, 244 nt
Filed under: uncultured bacterium
Lineage: Bacteria
Description: partial 16S ribosomal RNA
Rfam family: Bacterial small subunit ribosomal RNA
Source: RNAcentral